RNAcentral lists this ribosomal RNA (855 nucleotides) under Bacillus cereus. RNAcentral describes it as "bacterial SSU rRNA". It matches the Rfam family "Bacterial small subunit ribosomal RNA", at positions 61 to 873 of the family's 1533-position model. Lineage: Bacteria; Bacillati; Bacillota; Bacilli; Caryophanales; Bacillaceae. The record is from RNAcentral.
ACCGAAUGGAUUAAAGAGCUUGCUCUUAUGAAGUUAGCGGCGGACGGGUGAGUAACACGUGGGUAACCUGCCCAUAAGACUGGGAUAACUCCGGGAAACCGGGGCUAAUACCGGAUAACAUUUUGAACCGCAUGGUUCGAAAUUGAAAGGCGGCUUCGGCUGUCACUUAUGGAUGGACCCGCGUCGCAUUAGCUAGUUGGUGAGGUAACGGCUCACCAAGGCAACGAUGCGUAGCCGACCUGAGAGGGUGAUCGGCCACACUGGGACUGAGACACGGCCCAGACUCCUACGGGAGGCAGCAGUAGGGAAUCUUCCGCAAUGGACGAAAGUCUGACGGAGCAACGCCGCGUGAGUGAUGAAGGCUUUCGGGUCGUAAAACUCUGUUGUUAGGGAAGAACAAGUGCUAGUUGAAUAAGCUGGCACCUUGACGGUACCUAACCAGAAAGCCACGGCUAACUACGUGCCAGCAGCCGCGGUAAUACGUAGGUGGCAAGCGUUAUCCGGAAUUAUUGGGCGUAAAGCGCGCGCAGGUGGUUUCUUAAGUCUGAUGUGAAAGCCCACGGCUCAACCGUGGAGGGUCAUUGGAAACUGGGAGACUUGAGUGCAGAAGAGGAAAGUGGAAUUCCAUGUGUAGCGGUGAAAUGCGUAGAGAUAUGGAGGAACACCAGUGGCGAAGGCGACUUUCUGGUCUGUAACUGACACUGAGGCGCGAAAGCGUGGGGAGCAAACAGGAUUAUAUACCUUGGUAGUCCACGCCGUACACGAAGAGUGCUAGAUGUUAGAGAGCUGCCUCCCUUUAGUGCUGAAGUAAUGACCUUAGCUAAUCGCCCGGGGGGGGGGGCGGGGGGGUAGAAA